RNAcentral lists this long non-coding RNA (326 nucleotides) under Olea europaea (common olive). RNAcentral describes it as "long non-coding RNA (OEUR_LNC007151)". Lineage: Eukaryota; Viridiplantae; Streptophyta; Magnoliopsida; Lamiales; Oleaceae. The record is from RNAcentral.
UAGCUUGAAAUUAUUCAAGAAUUAUGGAUGCCCCAACCUCCCAAGAGAUGUCGUAUGUUGAUCAUAUCAAAAGGCGACACGAAGAGAAAGGCUUUCUCUAUGCAUGGUUUGUUUAACAGAUGUUAUGUAUUUUUACUGCAAUGGAAAAAUCAUUCAAAUGAUCAAUUCAUUUUAUUUUUUCUUUUUUGUAAAGAUUAAUAUUGUUACAUGUCUGAUACAGUUUGUUCGCACUGUGUUGCUGUUUUUGCUGCUAUGAGGCUUGUGAGUGCUGUCUGGAUAUUUGCUGCUGCAACUGUGGUUAAAUUCUUCACAGUAGUGAAAGAUCA